Molecule: ribosomal RNA, 2908 nt
Filed under: Salmonella enterica subsp. enterica serovar Dublin
Lineage: Bacteria; Pseudomonadati; Pseudomonadota; Gammaproteobacteria; Enterobacterales; Enterobacteriaceae
Description: 23S ribosomal RNA
Rfam family: Bacterial large subunit ribosomal RNA
Source: RNAcentral
GGUUAAGCGACUAAGCGUACACGGUGGAUGCCCUGGCAGUCAGAGGCGAUGAAGGGCGUGCUAAUCUGCGAUAAGCGCCGGUAAGGUGAUAUGAACCGUUAUAACCGGCGAUACCCGAAUGGGGAAACCCAGUGUGAUUCGUCACACUAUCAUUAACUGAAUCCAUAGGUUAAUGAGGCGAACCGGGGGAACUGAAACAUCUAAGUACCCCGAGGAAAAGAAAUCAACCGAGAUUCCCCAGUAGCGGCGAGCGAACGGGGAGGAGCCCAGAGCCUGAAUCAGCAUGUGUGUUAGUGGAAGCGUCUGGAAAGGCGCGCGAUACAGGGUGACAGCCCCGUACACAAAAGCGCAUGUGCUGUGAGCUCGAUGAGUAGGGCGGGACACGUGGUAUCCUGUCUGAAUAUGGGGGGACCAUCCUCCAAGGCUAAAUACUCCUGACUGACCGAUAGUGAACCAGUACCGUGAGGGAAAGGCGAAAAGAACCCCGGCGAGGGGAGUGAAAAAGAACCUGAAACCGUGUACGUACAAGCAGUGGGAGCACAGGUUUACCUGUGUGACUGCGUACCUUUUGUAUAAUGGGUCAGCGACUUAUAUUCUGUAGCAAGGUUAACCGAAUAGGGGAGCCGGAGGGAAACCGAGUCUUAAUUGGGCGUUAAGUUGCAGGGUAUAGACCCGAAACCCGGUGAUCUAGCCAUGGGCAGGUUGAAGGUUGGGUAACACUAACUGGAGGACCGAACCGACUAAUGUUGAAAAAUUAGCGGAUGACCUGUGGCUGGGGGUGAAAGGCCAAUCAAACCGGGAGAUAGCUGGUUCUCCCCGAAAGCUAUUUAGGUAGCGCCUCGUGAAUUCAUCUCCGGGGGUAGAGCACUGUUUCGGCUAGGGGGCCAUCCCGGCUUACCAACCCGAUGCAAACUGCGAAUACCGGAGAAUGUUAUCACGGGAGACACACGGCGGGUGCUAACGUCCGUCGUGAAGAGGGAAACAACCCAGACCGCCAGCUAAGGUCCCAAAGUCAUGGUUAAGUGGGAAACGAUGUGGGAAGGCCCAGACAGCCAGGAUGUUGGCUUAGAAGCAGCCAUCAUUUAAAGAAAGCGUAAUAGCUCACUGGUCGAGUCGGCCUGCGCGGAAGAUGUAACGGGGCUAAACCAUGCACCGAAGCUGCGGCAGCGACGCUUAUGCGUUGUUGGGUAGGGGAGCGUUCUGUAAGCCUGUGAAGGUGGCCUGUGAGGGUUGCUGGAGGUAUCAGAAGUGCGAAUGCUGACAUAAGUAACGAUAAAGCGGGUGAAAAGCCCGCUCGCCGGAAGACCAAGGGUUCCUGUCCAACGUUAAUCGGGGCAGGGUGAGUCGACCCCUAAGGCGAGGCCGAAAGGCGUAGUCGAUGGGAAACGGGUUAAUAUUCCCGUACUUGGUGUUACUGCGAAGGGGGGACGGAGAAGGCUAUGUUGGCCGGGCGACGGUUGUCCCGGUUUAAGCGUGUAGGUGUGUGUUCCAGGUAAAUCCGGUUCACUUUAACACUGAGGCGUGAUGACGAGGCACUACGGUGCUGAAGUAACAAAUGCCCUGCUUCCAGGAAAAGCCUCUAAGCAUCAGGUAACAUCAAAUCGUACCCCAAACCGACACAGGUGGUCAGGUAGAGAAUACCAAGGCGCUUGAGAGAACUCGGGUGAAGGAACUAGGCAAAAAAUGGUGCCGUAACUUCGGGAGAAGGCACGCUGACACGUAGGUGAAGUGAUUUACUCAUGGAGCUGAAGUCAGUCGAAGAUACCAGCUGGCUGCAACUGUUUAUUAAAAACACAGCACUGUGCAAACACGAAAGUGGACGUAUACGGUGUGACGCCUGCCCGGUGCCGGAAGGUUAAUUGAUGGGGUCAGCGCAAGCGAAGCUCCUGAUCGAAGCCCCGGUAAACGGCGGCCGUAACUAUAACGGUCCUAAGGUAGCGAAAUUCCUUGUCGGGUAAGUUCCGACCUGCACGAAUGGCGUAAUGAUGGCCAGGCUGUCUCCACCCGAGACUCAGUGAAAUUGAACUCGCUGUGAAGAUGCAGUGUACCCGCGGCAAGACGGAAAGACCCCGUGAACCUUUACUAUAGCUUGACACUGAACAUUGAGCCUUGAUGUGUAGGAUAGGUGGGAGGCUUUGAAGUGUGGACGCCAGUCUGCAUGGAGCCGACCUUGAAAUACCACCCUUUAAUGUUUGAUGUUCUAACGUGGACCCGUUACCCGGGUUGCGGACAGUGUCUGGUGGGUAGUUUGACUGGGGCGGUCUCCUCCUAAAGAGUAACGGAGGAGCACGAAGGUUGGCUAAUCCUGGUCGGACAUCAGGAGGUUAGUGCAAUGGCAUAAGCCAGCUUGACUGCGAGCGUGACGGCGCGAGCAGGUGCGAAAGCAGGUCAUAGUGAUCCGGUGGUUCUGAAUGGAAGGGCCAUCGCUCAACGGAUAAAAGGUACUCCGGGGAUAACAGGCUGAUACCGCCCAAGAGUUCAUAUCGACGGCGGUGUUUGGCACCUCGAUGUCGGCUCAUCACAUCCUGGGGCUGAAGUAGGUCCCAAGGGUAUGGCUGUUCGCCCUUUAAAGUGGUACGCGAGCUGGGUUUAGAACGUCGUGAGACAGUUCGGUCCCUAUCUGCCGUGGGCGCUGGAGAACUGAGGGGGCUGCUCCUAGUACGAGAGGACCGGAGUGGACGCAUCACUGGUGUUCGGGUUGUCAUGCCAAUGGCACUGCCCGGUAGCUAAAUGCGGAAGAGAUAAGUGCUGAAAGCAUCUAAGCACGAAACUUGCCCCGAGAUGAGUUCUCCCUGAGACUUAAAGUCUCCUGAAGGAACGUUGAAGACGACGACGUUGAUAGGCCGGGUGUGUAAGCGCAGCGAUGCGUUGAGCUAACCGGUACUAAUGAACCGUGAGGCUUAACCCU